GACGAACGCUGGCGGCGUGCCUAAUACAUGCAAGUAGAACGCACAGUUUAUACCGUAGCUUGCUACACCAUAGACUGUGAGUUGCGAACGGGUGAGUAACGCGUAGGUAACCUGCCUGGUAGCGGGGGAUAACUAUUGGAAACGAUAGCUAAUACCGCAUAAUAUUAAUUAUUGCAUGAUAAUUAAUUGAAAGGUGCAAUUGCACCACUACCAGAUGGACCUGCGUUGUAUUAGCUAGUAGGUGAGGUAACGGCCCACCUAGGCGACGAUACAUAGCCGACCUGAGAGGGUGAUCGGCCACACUGGGACUGAGACACGGCCCAGACUCCUACGGGAGGCAGCAGUAGGGAAUCUUCGGCAAUGGACGAAAGUCUGACCGAGCAACGCCGCGGGAGUGAAGAAGGUUGUCGGAUCGUAAAGCUCGGUUGUAAGAGAAGAACGGGUGUGAGAGUGGAAAGUUCACACUGUGACGGUAGCUUACCAGAAAGGGACGGCUAACUACGUG
RNAcentral lists this ribosomal RNA (505 nucleotides) under uncultured bacterium. Its description in RNAcentral is "partial 16S ribosomal RNA". It matches the Rfam family "Bacterial small subunit ribosomal RNA", at positions 28 to 507 of the family's 1533-position model. The record is from RNAcentral.